UCGAGCGGAUGAAGGGANGCUUGCUCCUGGAUUCAGCGGCGGACGGGUGAGUAAUGCCUAGGAAUCUCCCUGGUAGUGGGGGAUAACGUCCGGAAACGGGCGCUAAUACCGCAUACGUCCUGAGGGAGAAAGUGGGGGAUCUUCGGACCUCACGCUAUCAGAUGAGCCUAGGUCGGAUUAGCUAGUUGGUGGGGUAAAGGCCUACCAAGGCGACGAUCCGUAACUGGUCUGAGAGGAUGAUCAGUCACACUGGAACUGAGACACGGUCCAGACUCCUACGGGAGGCAGCAGUGGGGAAUAUUGGACAAUGGGCGAAAGCCUGAUCCAGCCAUGCCGCGUGUGUGAAGAAGGUCUUCGGAUUGUAAAGCACUUUAAGUUGGGAGGAAGGGCAGUAAGUUAAUACCUUGCUGUUUUGACGUUACCAACAGAAUAAGCACCGGCUAACUUCGUGCCAGCAGCCGCGGUAAUAC
RNAcentral lists this ribosomal RNA (470 nucleotides) under Pseudomonas aeruginosa. RNAcentral describes it as "bacterial SSU rRNA". It matches the Rfam family "Bacterial small subunit ribosomal RNA", at positions 62 to 526 of the family's 1533-position model. Lineage: Bacteria; Pseudomonadati; Pseudomonadota; Gammaproteobacteria; Pseudomonadales; Pseudomonadaceae. The record is from RNAcentral.